AGGGCAUGUGCGACGGGUGAGUACGCGUGGAACGUGCCUUUCACUACGGAAUAGCUUUUGGAAACGAAAGGUAAUACCGUAUACGCCCUCCGGGGGAAAGAUUUAUCGGUGAAAGAUCGGUCCGCGUUAGAUUAGCUAGUUGGUGAGGUAAAAGCUCACCAAGGCGACGAUCUAUAGCUGGUCUGAGAGGAUGAUCAGCCACACUGGGACUGAGACACGGCCCAGACUCCUACGGGAGGCAGCAGUGGGGAAUAUUGCACAAUGGGCGCAAGCCUGAUGCAGCCAUGCCGCGUGAAUGAUGAAGGCCUUAGGGUUGUAAAAUUCUUUCGCUAGGGAUGAUAAUGACAGUACCUAGUAAAGAAGCCCCGGCUAACUUCGUGCCAGCAGCCGCGGUAAUACGAAGGGGGCUAGCGUUGUUCGGAAUUACUGGGCGUAAAGCGCACGUAGGCGGACUUUUAAGUCAGAUGUGAGAUCCCGAGGCUCAACCUCGGAACUGCAUUUGAAACUGGGAGUCUAGAGAUCAGGAGAGGUUAGCGGAAUACCGAGUGUAGAGGUGAAAUUCGUAGAUAUUCGGUGGAACACCAGUGGCGAAGGCGGCUAACUGGACUGAUACUGACGCUGAGGUGCGAAAGUGUGGGGAGCAAACAGGA
This 650-nucleotide ribosomal RNA is filed under the name uncultured bacterium. RNAcentral's name for it is "bacterial SSU rRNA". It matches the Rfam family "Bacterial small subunit ribosomal RNA", at positions 90 to 777 of the family's 1533-position model. The record is from RNAcentral.